AGAGUUUGAUCAUGGCUCAGAACGAACGCUGGCGGCAUGCCUAACACAUGCAAGUCGAACGAAGGCUUCGGCCUUAGUGGCGCACGGGUGCGUAACGCGUGGGAAUCUGCCCUUGGGUUCGGAAUAACAGUGAGAAAUUACUGCUAAUACCGGAUGAUGACUUCGGUCCAAAGAUUUAUCGCCCAAGGAUGAGCCCGCGUAAGAUUAGCUAGUUGGUGAGGUAAAGGCUCACCAAGGCGACGAUCUUUAGCUGGUCUGAGAGGAUGAUCAGCCACACUGGGACUGAGACACGGCCCAGACUCCUACGGGAGGCAGCAGUGGGGAAUAUUGCACAAUGGGCGCAAGCCUGAUGCAGCGACGCCGCGUGAGGGAUGACGGCCUUCGGGUUGUAAACCUCUUUCAAUAGGGACGAAGCGCAAGUGACGGUACCUGGAGAAGAAGCACCGGCCAACUACGUGCCAGCAGCCGCGGUAAUACGUAGGGUGCGAGCGUUGUCCGGAAUUACUGGGCGUAAAGAGCUCGUAGGUGGUUUGUCGCGUUGUUCGUGAAAACUCACAGCUUAACUGUGGGCGUGCGGGCGAUACGGGCAGACUAGAGUACUGCAGGGGAGACUGGAAUUCCUGGUGUAGCGGUGGAAUGCGCAGAUAUCAGGAGGAACACCGGUGGCGAAGGCGGGUCUCUGGGCAGUAACUGACGCUGAGGAGCGAAAGCGUGGGGAGCGAACAGGAUUAGAUACCCUGGUAGUCCAA
Molecule: ribosomal RNA, 749 nt
Filed under: uncultured bacterium
Lineage: Bacteria
Description: bacterial SSU rRNA
Rfam family: Bacterial small subunit ribosomal RNA
Source: RNAcentral